AGCAGCCGCGGUAAUUCCAGCUCCAAUAGCGUAUAUUAAAGUUGUUGCAGUUAAAAAGCUCGUAGUUGAAUUUCGGAAUCUGUCCAUUGGUCGGGCUUCACUGUCCGUACUGGUGUGGUGGGUUCUUACCUUCUGAAUAACCAGCAUGCCAUUCAUUUGGUGCGUUGGGGAAGCAGGACUAUUACCUUGAAAAAUUAGAGUGCUCAAAGCAGGCUAGUGCCUGAAUACAUUAGCAUGGAAUAAUAAAAUAGGACGGCAUGGUUCUAUUUUGUUGGUUUCUAGGAUCACCGUAAUGAUUAAUAGGGAUAGUUGGGGGCAUUAGCAUUCAAUUGUCAGAGGUGAAAUUCUUGGAUUUAUUGAAGACUAACUUCUGCGAAAGCAUUUGCCAAGGAUGUUUUCAUUAAUCAAGAACGAAAGUUAGGGGAUCGAAGACGAUCAGAUACCGUCGUAGUCUUAACCAUAAACUAUGCCGACUAGGGAUCGGACGAUGUUAAUUUUUAAUGUACUCGUU
This 511-nucleotide ribosomal RNA is filed under the name uncultured Glomeromycotina. RNAcentral's name for it is "SSU rRNA". It matches the Rfam family "Eukaryotic small subunit ribosomal RNA", at positions 569 to 1080 of the family's 1831-position model. Lineage: Eukaryota; Fungi; Glomeromycota. The record is from RNAcentral.